This 343-nucleotide long non-coding RNA is filed under the name Phasianus colchicus (ring-necked pheasant). Its description in RNAcentral is "lncRNA (ENSPCLG00000005567.1)". The record is from RNAcentral. Lineage: Eukaryota; Metazoa; Chordata; Aves; Galliformes; Phasianidae.
CUAUUACACAAUUUACUUUGAAUGCAAUGUGAAUAAUAAAAUGUUUAACUGUUUCACUUCUGUGUUUUUUGUUUUGUGUUUUGUUGUUUUUUUUUUUUUUUUAAUUUGAGGUUGGAAUAUUGCUGAAGAUCUAAAUUCCAUAUUACUUCAGAAGAUGAGCAGAACUGAAAAUUAAGUGAGCUGUGUUUUCCAAUUGCAGUGAGAUCUUUCAAGAACCAACAAGAUGGAGAAUCAAGAACAGGAGCUUACCAUACAGUCUUGAGGACAACCAAAGCAGGUCAGUUUGGAACUUACUGUUUUGUUCAGAUCUUCACUACCCUAGCGAAGAGUUGGUUGAGGUAGA